Molecule: long non-coding RNA, 937 nt
Filed under: Sorghum bicolor (sorghum)
Lineage: Eukaryota; Viridiplantae; Streptophyta; Magnoliopsida; Poales; Poaceae
Description: long non-coding RNA (SBIC_LNC004124)
Source: RNAcentral
GGCUGUAGUAUUUUCGUUUAUAUUUGAUAAUUAUUGUCAACAAUACACUAACUAAGCUUAAAAAAUUCGUCUCACAAAUUACAGACAAAUUAUAUAAUUAGUUAUUGUUUAUCUACAGUUAAUGUUCUAUACAUGUGUCCCGAGAUUUGAUAAAAUAAGGAAUCUUGAAAAUUUUUGGAACUAAACAAGGCCUAAACCAAGUAAAACAAUAAGUGAAGCUUCUAGUCAAUAUGUCAUUUAGGGUGCCGAUCUCUUGGUUGCAUUUCUUCCUCGUCUCGCACUACAUGGGUUUUGAGUGUGGGAUUGUUGUGAGAUUGGUGGAGAAGAAGAGUGUGUUUGAUCGUCACCACUGUUGACUUGUGCUUAUUAACCAAAUCAGCCGCUUAUAAAAUAAUGUUUUUCUCUCAUCAAGAGAAAAGCAUAAGCUGUUAAUGUUUUCUCGAAGGAGAAAAGGAAAUUUUAUUAAAACCCAACACGGUACAUCUCCAAAUUAGAUAUGAAAAAAAAAUCUAAAACAAAAAACGUAUAAUAUCUUACCCCAAUCCUUUCAUUGCCUUUUUUUUUUUCCUUAGUGGUGAUCACUCUAGAUGAAUAAAGUGUUGUUGAACAACUAAGUCACAAUGCACUCUUUAUGCCAAAUAUAAGGAUCCAUUCUAAAACAUUAGAUAUGCCACAAGAUCCAAAACACAUUUAAAUUAUGAAAGAGAAUCCGCGUUUGCAGGAUGCCUGAUUUUCACUCUUCAACCAUUGAUGAUGAUGUCGAUGCAUCGAUGUUUUCUAUCCUCAUAGUAAGUGCCUAGGAGCCCCACUUUGCACCACUCCUUUUGCUAAUAAUAGCUAGAAAUUGGCCUCCUACCGAAGUCGACGCAUCCUCUCCUUAUCAUUGGUGGACUAGGGCGGAAGAAGGAGAGGAGGCUAGAUGACAUAAACAACCCGC